GCAAACUUGGUCAUUUAGAGGAAGUAAAAGUCGUAACAAGGUUUCCGUAGGUGAACCUGCGGAAGGAUCAUUAUUGGUUUUUGCUUGAAGGGCUGUAGGUGGCCACACACACCAGCAGGUAGGUCAAAUACGCCCGGAUUGUCAAAUGUGUUAUCCACACUACUCACAAGUGCACAACUGUAGUGCCAACCGCGCUACGUUUGUUUGUUCAAUAAAACGUGUAUGCACACAAAAAAAAAAGACUUUUGGGGAUCAGACGAUGUCAUAACAACUUUCAGCAACGGAUCUCUUGGCUCUCGCAUCGAUGAAGAACGCAGC
Molecule: unclassified non-coding RNA, 318 nt
Filed under: uncultured fungus
Lineage: Eukaryota; Fungi
Description: partial contains small subunit ribosomal RNA, internal transcribed spacer 1, and 5.8S ribosomal RNA
Rfam family: Eukaryotic small subunit ribosomal RNA (bases 1-73)
Source: RNAcentral